CCGAGUUCUCGCAACUCCCAACCCCUGCGCACCGUACCCCCCUCUGUUCUCGCCCCCCGGGCGGGCGGCCCGGCGCCAUCGCCAGCGGCCCCCGCCAGGGGCGGCGAGCCCCCUGAACCUCUCUCCAGCACCGCAGCCCGUCUGAGCACACACAAAAUGAAUCA
This 164-nucleotide unclassified non-coding RNA is filed under the name uncultured Sordariomycetes. Its description in RNAcentral is "sequence contains ITS1". The record is from RNAcentral. Lineage: Eukaryota; Fungi; Ascomycota; Sordariomycetes.